Non-coding RNA from Pelodiscus sinensis (Chinese soft-shelled turtle), 600 nucleotides. The record is from RefSeq and is a predicted model, not a curated record. Lineage: Eukaryota; Metazoa; Chordata; Testudines; Trionychidae.
UUCCAAUGAUGCUAAGAGAGCAACACUAAUGUUCACUGUAUCGAGGAACCAGAGACAUUAGAGAAUGUAAAGACCUCUAAGAGCAAAUAAUUUAAUGGCUACCAGUCUUUUGGGGCAGUUCAGACAGUUAACUGUGUUAGCCCCACAGCUGUGUCACCCACGUUUUACUCCACUCCAUGCACCUGAUUCUGCAUUGAAGCUUGGGCAGUGGCCAGACUUGGGUUUGCAAUUAGCCCAAGCUCUAUGGCAAAUAGAGCAUGCAUGAUUAAAUGGAACACAGGCACUGGCCAUGCCUUGAGACGUAGGACAGAGGCUCAUCACUAAGCUUAAGAUGUUGUCACAGUUAUUUUAGUUCCUGGCUCUCCCAGACAGAAGACACCAUCCUACACAUGCUGACCACACAUAGAUCAGUUCCUAUCAGGGAUGGUCUAGACGGCACUGGGUCCUGCCAUGAGGGCAGGGGACUGGACGCGAUGACCUCUCAAGGUUCCUUCCAGUUCUAGUGUUCUAUGAUUCUAUGAAUUAUUUAUUUUGUACAGUGCACUAUUGAAAACUCCCUCAUAGCAUAUAUGCAGUAAAUAAAGAGGACUUACAAUGCUA